UGUGUGUGUGUGUGUGUGUGUGUGUUAUGUCCCUCUCCACAUAUGGUAAAUAUGGUUCGGGCAGAGAGAGAGAGAUAGAUGGAUGAAAGAGAGAGAGAGAAAGGAUGAGACGGGGGGGGUAGAAAGGGAUUAGAAAGAGAUGGGGACCAGAGAGAUGGGGAUCAGAGAGGGGGAAUCAGAGAGGUGGGGACCAGAGAGGUUGGAUCAGAGAGGUGGGGACCAGAGAGAUGGGGACCAGAGAGAUGGGGAUCAGAGAGGUGGGAUCAGAGAGAUGGGAUCAGAGAGAUGGGGAUCAGAGAGAUGGGAUCAGAGAGAUGGGGAUCAGAGAGAUGGGGACCAGAGAGGUGGGGACCAGAGAGAUGGGGACCAGAGAGGGGGAAUCAGAGAGAUGGGAUCAGAGAGGUGGGAUCAGAGAGGUGGGAUCAGAGAGAUGGGAUCAGAGAGAUGGGGACCAGAGAGAUGGGGAUCAGAGAGAUGGGGACCAGAGAGGUGGGAUCAGAGAGGUGGGGACCAGAGAGAUGGGGAUCAGAGAGAUGGGGACCAGAGAGAUGGGGACCAGAGAGGUGGGAUCAGAGAGGUGGGAUCAGAGAGAUGGGAUCAGAGAGGUGGGAUCAGAGAGGUGGGAUCAGAGAGAUGGGAUCAGAGAGAUGGGGAUCAGAGAGGUGGGGACCAGAGAGGUGGGGACCAGAGAGGUUGGACCAGAGAGAUGGGGACCAGAGAGGUGGGGAUCAGAGAGGGUGGGAUCAGAGAGGUGGGAUCAGAGAGAUGGGAUCAGAGAGGUGGGAUCAGAGAGAUGGGAUCAGAGAGGUGGGGACCAGAGAGGUGGGGACCAGAGAGGUGGGGACCAGAGAGGUGGGGAUCAGAGAGGUGGGAUCAGAGAGGUGGGAUCAGAGAGAUGGGAUCAGAGAGGUGGGAUCAGAGAGAUGGGAUCAGAGAGGUGGGGACCAGAGAGGUGGGGACCAGAGAGGUUGGACCAGAGAGAUGGGGACCAGAGAGGUGGGGAUCAGAGAGGGUGGGAUCAGAGAGGUGGGAUCAGAGAGAUGGGGAAUCAGAGAGGUGGGAUCAGAGAGAUGGGGAAUCAGAGAGGUGGGGACCAGAGAGGUGGGGACCAGAGAGAUGGGGACCAGAGAGAUGGGGACCAAAGGGUGGCUGAUGCAGGGAGGGAGGGGUGGGAUGAGGGAAAGAGAGGGUGAUGAGUCACUCGCUUCCUCAGUCGCUCUGUCUCCAAACACCAGAUGGACCAGCCUGAUGAGGAGUGAAGGGACAUGAAGAUCUAGAUAAUAAAUGUCCUGUACCAACAAGACUCCAACAGAGUGUGUUUACUGUUAGAUAAUGACUGUACUGUACCAAAAAGACUCCGACAGGAUGAGUGAAAAAAACAGAGAGUGUGUUUACUGUUAGAGAAUACUUUUGAUCCUCUGUUGGAUGCAAUGUCUGUACGGACAUUGCACAGAUAAUGUGUGUGUGUGUGUGUGUGCCGUAAUUUGAGUCCUCAGGGCUGGCAUUGUGGCUCGACCGCUGUGGCGGCGUGGCUCUCGUGCGAGGCUGGACAGUCAUCGGAUUGACGGUACGGCAGAAGAAUGUUUGUG
This 1589-nucleotide long non-coding RNA is filed under the name Salmo salar (Atlantic salmon). RNAcentral's name for it is "lncRNA (ENSSSAG00000104764.1)". The record is from RNAcentral. Lineage: Eukaryota; Metazoa; Chordata; Actinopteri; Salmoniformes; Salmonidae.